RNAcentral lists this ribosomal RNA (163 nucleotides) under Bacillus sp. 77c. Its description in RNAcentral is "partial 16S ribosomal RNA". It matches the Rfam family "Bacterial small subunit ribosomal RNA", at positions 354 to 507 of the family's 1533-position model. The record is from RNAcentral. Lineage: Bacteria; Bacillati; Bacillota; Bacilli; Caryophanales; Bacillaceae.
UGAGGGAAUUUUCCACAAUGGACGAAAGUCUUGAUGGAGCAACGCCGCGUGAACGAUGAAGGUCUUCGGAUUGUAAAGUUCUGUUGUCAGAGACGAACAAGUACCGUUCGAACAGGGCGGUACCUUGACGGUACCUGACGAGAAAGCCACGGCUAACUACGUG